GUCGAAUAAAGGCAAACUCGCCGAAAGGCGGGGACGCAAAGCCACAGGCCUACGGUUGUAAUGACUAUGGCGGCUGGGUUGCCGGC
This 86-nucleotide non-coding RNA is filed under the name Dethiobacter alkaliphilus. Its description in RNAcentral is "c-di-GMP sequence". It matches the Rfam family "c-di-GMP-I riboswitch aptamer". From Rfam's summary of the family: GEMM was predicted in a large-scale screen for bacterial structured RNA regulatory elements. The record is from RNAcentral. RNAcentral also lists the same sequence under 1 other name. Lineage: Bacteria; Bacillati; Bacillota; Dethiobacteria; Dethiobacterales; Dethiobacteraceae.